UAAGCAUAUCAAUAAGCGGAGGAAAAGAAACUAACAAGGAUUCCCCUAGUAACUGCGAGUGAAGCGGGAAAAGCUCAAAUUUGAAAUCUGGCGGUUUUUAACUGUCCGAGUUGUAAUCUAGAGAAGUGUUACCUGUGCUGGACCGUGUAAAAGUUUCCUGGAAUGGAGCAUCAUAGAGGGUGAGAAUCCCGUCUUUGACACGGACUACCUGUACAUUAUGGUGUGCUCUCAAAGAGUCGAGUUGUUUGGGAAUGCAGCUCAAAAUGGGUGGUAAAUGCCAUCUAAAGCUAAAUAUUGGCGAGAGACCGAUAGCGAACAAGUACCGUGAGGGAAAGAUGAAAAGAACUUUGGAAAGAGAGUUAAACAGUACGUGAAAUUGCUGAAAGGGAAACGCUUGAAGUCAGUCACGUUGGCUAGAAAUCAGCCUUGCUUUUGCUUGGUGUACUUUCUGGUUUGACGGGUCAGCAUCAAUUUUGACCACUGGAUAAAGUCUCUGGGAAUGUAGCAUCUUUGGAUGUGUUAUAGCCCAGGGUUGCAUACGGUGAUUGGGAUUGAGGAAUUCAGCACGCCACAAGGCCGGGUUUCGACCACGAUCGUGCUUAGGAUGCUGGCAUAAUGGCUUUAAUCGACCCGUCUUGAAACACGGACCAAGGAGUCUAACAUGCCUGCGAGUGUUUGGGUGGAAAACCCAUGCGCGCAAUGAAAGUGAAAGUUGAGAUCCCUGAAAGGGGAGCAUUGACGCCCGGACCAGACCUUUUGUGACGGAUCCGCGGUAGAGCAUGUAUGUUGGGACCCGAAAGAUGGUGAACUAUGCCUGAAUAGGGUGAAGCCAGAGGAAACUCUGGUGGAGGCUCGUAGCGAUUCUGACGUGCAAAUCGAUCGUCAAAUUUGGGUAUAGGGGCGAAAGACUAAUCGAACC
RNAcentral lists this ribosomal RNA (919 nucleotides) under Inocybe australiensis. RNAcentral describes it as "eukaryotic LSU rRNA". It matches the Rfam family "Eukaryotic large subunit ribosomal RNA", at positions 35 to 941 of the family's 3401-position model. The record is from RNAcentral. Lineage: Eukaryota; Fungi; Basidiomycota; Agaricomycetes; Agaricales; Inocybaceae.